CCCUGUUCCUUUCCUCACCUCUCCCCUGUUCACCAACCCCAUGCAUCCCCUCACCUCUUAACGUUACUUCCUUCUCCUCCCCUCCCCAUUAUAUUCCACAAGGGCUGUGCUUGAAAGUCAUUUAUGUAUAAUAUUUAUCAAACCUGUAAUGUAAUAUGUGUUUAACAUGAUUGAAUAUAUAUAUAUAUAUAUUUUAAAUAUUUCAGUGACCAUGCAAUGUUAAAAAAGUCAAAUGCCAGGCAUUGUGUAAACUGAGAAAAUUUAAUUUGAUAUAAACUGAUAAUAAAUGUUACAAUCCUGACCGCCAUCCUGUCUUUUACAAUAUUGGAGUCAGAAAGAUAUAUUCUAAUUCAACUUCUAUGGUUGGAUUUUUUAAAAUAAUUUUUUGUGAGUGUGUGUGUCUCUCUACUUUUUACUCCAAACCCUUCAGUUUAAGGCCCAACCUGUCCAGUCUUACUUUACCGACUCUAACAACCCUAAUCUCUGGACAUAUGCACAUAACAUAAACAGCAGUAGCAUCUGGCGACAGAGUGGGAUGCAAAAACUAUACACAUUUUUUGACACUGAUCAUUUGGACAAAUCACAAUUUCACAGGUGCUCGCAUCUUGGGACAUUUGGCCCAUAGACUUACGCAAAACUCACUGUCAGUUUCCAUUUAGAGUUGGGGAGACAUUGAACUAACACGUUUCCUUCCAAAAUUUAAACAAGCAUCUGAUGCAAUUAAUUACACAAUAUUGGAUUUCUGGGUGUCCGAGAUUAAACAAGCUCCAAAAGUAUCUGUACACCAGAGCUAAAUGAUAGCGUUAGAGGCAGGCGGACGAGCAAUAUCCACCAAUCACCAUCGUAGUACAAGCCUGAUAUGGAAUGUGAAGCUAACUGAAGUUGGCUAGCUUCAUAAAAGCCAGGGGAGGUUAGCAUUUUAUAUCAUACCCCCAAGACAUGCCAACAUCUCACCAUUAUAAUAACAGGGGAGGUUAGCAUUUUAUAUCAUACCCCCAAGACAUGCCAACCUCUCACCAUUACAAUAACAGGGGAGGUUAGCAUUUUAUAUCAUACCCCCAAGACAUGCUGACCUCUCACCAUUACAAUAACAGGGGAGGUUAGCAUUUUAUAUCAUACCCCCAAGACAUGCCAACCUCUCACCAUUACAAUAACAGGGGAGGUUAGCAUUUUAUAUCAUACCCCCAAGACAUGCCAACAUCUCACCAUUAUAAUAACAGGGGAGGUUAGCAUUUUAUAUCAUACCCCCAAGACAUGCCAACCUCUCACCAUUACAAUAACAGGGGAGGUUAGCAUUUUAUAUCAUAACCCCAAGACCUGCCAACAUUUCACCAUUAUAAUAACAGGGGAGGUAUGAUAUUUAUGCCACAUUUUUUGCAGUUUUACUAGUGCUUUAUUGCAAACAGGAUGCAUGUUUUUGAAAAUUUGUAAUCUGUGAAGGCUUCCUUCUUUUCACUCUUGUCAUUUAGGUUGGUAUUGUGGAGUAACUACAAUGUUGUUGAUCCAUCCUCAGUUUUCUCCUAUCACAGCCAUUAAACCUUUAUAAAGUCA
Oncorhynchus keta (chum salmon) is the source of this 1551-nucleotide long non-coding RNA. RefSeq lists it as uncharacterized. Lineage: Eukaryota; Metazoa; Chordata; Actinopteri; Salmoniformes; Salmonidae. The record is from RefSeq and is a predicted model, not a curated record. The transcript has 2 exons.